Molecule: long non-coding RNA, 597 nt
Filed under: Vitis vinifera (wine grape)
Lineage: Eukaryota; Viridiplantae; Streptophyta; Magnoliopsida; Vitales; Vitaceae
Description: long non-coding RNA (VVIN_LNC001866)
Source: RNAcentral
CCAAUAUCUCCAUCUCAGAAGUAUCAUUGGGAGGUAAGCCAUUUACAGGUGUAAGGUUAUUGUGAAUAUUACUGCUAUUAGAGUUCUGGUGCCGUUGUUUCUUAAAUCUGCAGCCUGCAUGUCAUCCUUUAGUUGUGUCACAAAUUCUGUAUUGAGCACAUGAUCACUAGUGAAGUCAAAAUUUCCAGAUCUCAAGACAUCUUCCCCUAGUGCCUCUAAAUCCAUGUCAGCUUUCUCUUCAUUACUCUUCCCAGAUCACCCCUCUCAGAAUUUCCAUCCACUUGUCCAGAUUCUGCCUCUUCUAGAUUUUCAUUCCUGGGAGAAGUUUUACCACGGUUUGAAUUGGUGCUCAUACUCUGAAGUUGGAAUUAUAGGUUGAGCAUCUCUGAUUUCAUCUUUUCUACCUACAGAUUAUGAUGGCAUUUCUGCUCUCCAGAUUCAAGGAUAAACAGCGACUGUACAGUCUUCCAAGCAGCUCUUUUCUCCUUCAUUAAUGCCAGGCAACCAAUGAGUGUACCUCACAAAGCUCUCCAAUCUGCCAGUCCAUCUCUUGCAUGGAUUAAAUUAUCUGUAGUGGGCAAAUACAUCCCCAUCUCU